CGCGGCCUAUCAGCUUGUUGGUGAGGUAAUGGCUCACCAAGGCGACGACGGGUAGCCGGCCUGAGAGGGUGACCGGCCACACUGGGACUGAGACACGGCCCAGACUCCUACGGGAGGCAGCAGUGGGGAAUAUUGCACAAUGGGCGAAAGCCUGAUGCAGCAACGCCGCGUGAGGGAUGACGGCCUUCGGGUUGUAAACCUCUUUUAGUAGGGAAGAAGCGAAAGUGACGGUACCUGCAGAAAAAGCACCGGCUAACUACGUGCCAGCAGCCGCGGUAAUACGUAGGGUGCAAGCGUUGUCCGGAAUUAUUGGGCGUAAAGAGCUCGUAGGCGGUUUGUCGCGUCUGCUGUGAAAUCCCGAGGCUCAACCUCGGGCUUGCAGUGGGUACGGGCAGACUAGAGUGCGGUAGGGGAGAUUGGAAUUCCUGGUGUAGCGGUGGAAUGCGCAGAUAUCAGGAGGAACACCGAUGGCGAAGGCAGAUCUCUGGGCCGUAACUGACGCUGAGGAGCGAAAGCGUGGGGAGCGAACAGGAUUAGAUAGAUCUG
This 546-nucleotide ribosomal RNA is filed under the name Curtobacterium citreum. RNAcentral's name for it is "bacterial SSU rRNA". It matches the Rfam family "Bacterial small subunit ribosomal RNA", at positions 232 to 789 of the family's 1533-position model. Lineage: Bacteria; Bacillati; Actinomycetota; Actinomycetes; Micrococcales; Microbacteriaceae. The record is from RNAcentral.